Molecule: ribosomal RNA, 346 nt
Filed under: uncultured bacterium
Lineage: Bacteria
Description: bacterial SSU rRNA
Rfam family: Bacterial small subunit ribosomal RNA
Source: RNAcentral
AGAGUUUGAUUAUGGCUCAGGACGAACGCUGGCGGCGUGCUUAACACAUGCAAGUCGAACGAGAAGAGAUGAGAAGCUUGCUUCUUAUCAAUUCGAGUGGCAAACGGGUGAGUAACGCGUAAGCAACCUGCCCUUCAGAUGGGGACAACAGCUGGAAACGGCUGCUAAUACCGAAUACGUUCUUUCCGCCGCAUGACGGGAUGAAGAAAGGGAGGCCUUCGGGCUUUCGCUGGAGGAGGGGCUUGCGUCUGAUUAGCUAGUUGGAGGGGUAACGGCCCACCAAGGCGACGAUCAGUAGCCGGUCUGAGAGGAUGAACGGCCACAUUGGGACUGAGACACGGCCCAG